This 276-nucleotide unclassified non-coding RNA is filed under the name Hevea brasiliensis (rubber tree). Lineage: Eukaryota; Viridiplantae; Streptophyta; Magnoliopsida; Malpighiales; Euphorbiaceae. The record is from RNAcentral.
GACAGAGAGAGAGAGAAACAAUGGAGAACUCUUCCCUCGAAACAGAAUCUCCUACCAUCUCCAUCCCCAAGAGGAAACCCAAGACAAAGCCUUCACGGCGGCGGGCACCUCCACCGCCGCCUCCUCCGCCGCCGCGGGCGGCGAGGGAAAAGGCACCGUGGCCGAAGAAGAAGUUGGGUGGAGUAAUGCUAGAGGCAUAUAUAGAGGGCAGUGAAACUGGGUCGACCGAUGAAGGCUCGUCCAUUGUGGGGAGGACGAAGAGCCUGACUGACGAGG